ACGAACGCUGGCGGCGUGCUUAACACAUGCAAGUCGAACGGAAAGGCCCUGCUUUUGUGGGGUGCUCGAGUGGCGAACGGGUGAGUAACACGUGAGUAACCUGCCCUUGACUUUGGGAUAACUUCAGGAAACUGGGGCUAAUACCGGAUAGGAGCUCCUGCUGCCUGGUGGGGGUUGGAAAGUUUCGGCGGUUGGGGAUGGACUCGCGGCUUAUCAGCUUGUUGGUGGGGUAGUGGCUUACCAAGGCUUUGACGGGUAGCCGGCCUGAGAGGGUGACCGGCCACAUUGGGACUGAGAUACGGCCCAGACUCCUACGGGAGGCAGCAGUGGGGAAUAUUACACAAUGGGCGGAAGCCUGAUGCAGCAACGCCGCGUGCGGGAUGACGGCCUUCGGGUUGUAAACCGCUUUCGCCUGUGACAAAGCGUGAGUGACGGUAAUGGGUAAAGAAGCACCGGCUAACUACGUG
RNAcentral lists this ribosomal RNA (467 nucleotides) under uncultured bacterium. RNAcentral describes it as "partial 16S ribosomal RNA". It matches the Rfam family "Bacterial small subunit ribosomal RNA", at positions 29 to 507 of the family's 1533-position model. The record is from RNAcentral.